This 396-nucleotide ribosomal RNA is filed under the name Ophryotrocha costlowi. Its description in RNAcentral is "partial 16S ribosomal RNA". It matches the Rfam family "Bacterial large subunit ribosomal RNA", at positions 1858 to 2578 of the family's 2925-position model. Lineage: Eukaryota; Metazoa; Annelida; Polychaeta; Eunicida; Dorvilleidae. The record is from RNAcentral.
UCUGCCCGGUGUUAGAUUAAUAAACGGCCGUUUGUACGCUAAGGUAGCAUAAUCAGUUGUUCCUUAAUUGGGGACUAGAAUGAAGGGGGUCAUAUAGAUGGGCUUUUUUCAUCUAAACUUUAAAAAUUAAAAUUCUUAUGAAAAUGUAAGGAUAAUUAUUAAAGACCAAAAGACCCUAUUGAGCUUAAAUCUAGAUGAAUUUUUUCUUAAUAGAUUUUUAUUGGGGGGGUAAGGGAUAUACAUCCUUAUUUUAAAUUUAACCUUUAAAAACCAAAGUAUAGUUACCAUAGGGAUAACAGGCCUAAAUUUUUUAAGAGUUCACAUUAACAAAAAAUUUUGGCACCUCGAUGUUGGCUUAAGAUAAAUCCUAGGUGCAGAAGUUUAGGUGAAARGCBU